CGGGCUGCUCAGCGCGCCCGGGCCAAGGCACAGUGCCUGGGGACAAUCCUAAUCUAGUUCUCCGUAUUUGUUCAUUGCUCUUUCAAGAUACAUAUAUAAAGUUGGAGAAAAAAUGAACGUACACCAAUCCCCUGAUACUAGAAGCCUGGCCCAGCAGAUGGGUGUCCUGUUAACUCAGCUGUCUGAGGGCAUUGCCAUUGAGGAGUGUUACAGUCCAGGAGUCCAGCCUCAAGACCUUGAAUGAUUUCAGUCAGAAAAGUGAAGGUAGAGAUUGCCUCAUGAGUCUGGACUCAAAACAGCUAAGAAGAGAAUAAACUUCUGGAAGGGGCUGCCGCUGAACUGCA
This 344-nucleotide long non-coding RNA is filed under the name Apteryx rowi (Okarito brown kiwi). RNAcentral's name for it is "lncRNA (ENSARWG00000006691.1)". The record is from RNAcentral. Lineage: Eukaryota; Metazoa; Chordata; Aves; Apterygiformes; Apterygidae.